UCCCAAGUGCAAUACAUUGGAUCACGAGCUGUUUUUCCAAUCCUCUGAUUCUAUACACACUAGCUGCAACAGACGUCUUGCUAUAGUCUAUAGACAGUCGAUUUACACUGCGACAACAGUAAAUCGAGCAAAAGAAAGAGAAAUGGAAAAAAAGAAGAUUGCUGUUGGAGUAGCUAGUGGCGGUAUGGGUGCCACAAUUGGGGGUUUGAUUGGUGCUCUUGCUGCUGGCAUUCCAUCAUUUGGCCUUGCAGCAGGUGCUGGUGCUGUGAUCGGAGCAGUUCUUGGGGGUGGGAUGGGGGUGGUUGCCAGUGCUAGUACUGGAGCGAAACCUCCCCCAACUGUGGUUUUUAAUACAGUGCCAAAACUUGAGGGAAAAAUCCACAAGUCACCAGAAAUUGAGGAGGCACAGAGCAAGGAAAUAUCUGGAGAGGCACCACCUUUUGUAGCUCCAGCAGUGCAAGACGACCAAACUGAUUCUAGAGACGCUGAUGAUGAGCUAUCUAUUCCAAACUCAUCUGCAUCUGGUGAUAGUGGUGUAUAUUAUCAAUAGUGCAUGUAUAACAGUGUUGUGUGCAUAUACAGCUGAGUCAUGCAUGCCUGACUGAGUACAUUUAGCUGAAAUGCAUACUAUAGUAGAGAUUUGUAUUAGCCUCUUUCUGUUUCUUUGUCACACUAUAACUAUACGCCAUGCAGAAUCAAGUAUUUGUGUAUAAUUGCAUGUGACUUA
Long non-coding RNA from Halichondria panicea, 727 nucleotides. RefSeq lists it as uncharacterized. The record is from RefSeq and is a predicted model, not a curated record. The transcript is spliced from 2 exons. Lineage: Eukaryota; Metazoa; Porifera; Demospongiae; Suberitida; Halichondriidae.